CCUACGGGCGGCAGCAGUGGGGAAUAUUGCACAAUGGGCGCACGCCUGAUGCAGCCAUGCCGCGUGUAUGAAGAAGGCCUUCGGGUUGUAAAGGACUUUCAGCGAGGAGGCGUUACUCGCAGAAGAAGCACCGGCUAACUCCGUGCCAGCAGCCGCGGUAAUCCGGGGGGUGCAAGCGUUCAUCGGAAUUACUGGGCGUAAAGCGCACGCAGGCGGUUUGUCAAGUCGGAUGUGAAAUCCCCGGGCUCAACCUGGGAACUGCAGUCGAAACGGGCAAGCUAGAGUCUUGUAGAGGGGGGUAGAAUUCCAGGUGUAGCGGUGAAAUGCGUAGAGAUCUGGAGGAAUACCGGUGGCGAAGGCGGCCCCCUGGACAAGCUGACGCUCAGGUGCGAAAGCGUGGGGAGCAAACAGGAUUAGAUACCCUUGUAGUC
RNAcentral lists this ribosomal RNA (431 nucleotides) under uncultured bacterium. RNAcentral describes it as "partial 16S ribosomal RNA". It matches the Rfam family "Bacterial small subunit ribosomal RNA", at positions 338 to 795 of the family's 1533-position model. The record is from RNAcentral.